GCGAUGGUGGUAUAGUGGUUAGCAUAGAUGUCUUCCAGGCAAUUGACCCGAGAUCGAUCCUCGGCUAUCGCA
Molecule: transfer RNA, 72 nt
Filed under: Daphnia pulex (common water flea)
Lineage: Eukaryota; Metazoa; Arthropoda; Branchiopoda; Diplostraca; Daphniidae
Rfam family: tRNA
About the family: Transfer RNA (tRNA) molecules are approximately 80 nucleotides in length.
Source: Rfam by way of RNAcentral